GUGUCGUGAGAUGUUUGGUUAAUCCCGCAACGAGCGCAACCCUUGUCCUUAGUUGCCAGCAUUUGGUUGGCCACUCUAGGGAGACUGCCGGUGACAAACCGGAGGAAGGUGGGGAUGACGUCAAAUCAUCAUGCCCCUUAUGAGUUGGGCUACACACGUGCUACAAUGGACGGUACAAAGGGCAGCGAAGCCGCGAGGUGGAGCCAAUCCCAGAAAGCCGUUCUCAGUUCGGAUGCAGGCUGCAACUCGCCUGCAUGAAGUCGGAAUCGCUAGUAAUCGCAGGUCACAUACUGCGGUGAAUACGUUCCCGGGUCUUGUACACACCGCCCGUCACACCACGAGAGUUUGCAACACCCGAAGUCGGGGAGUAAGAGGUCUAGCACAUGCUCCAACUCAUUUUGGGUAACGC
RNAcentral lists this ribosomal RNA (409 nucleotides) under Exiguobacterium profundum. RNAcentral's name for it is "bacterial SSU rRNA". It matches the Rfam family "Bacterial small subunit ribosomal RNA", at positions 1062 to 1474 of the family's 1533-position model. The record is from RNAcentral. Lineage: Bacteria; Bacillati; Bacillota; Bacilli; Caryophanales.